RNAcentral lists this ribosomal RNA (429 nucleotides) under Pseudomonadota bacterium. RNAcentral describes it as "Proteobacteria bacterium partial 16S ribosomal RNA". It matches the Rfam family "Bacterial small subunit ribosomal RNA", at positions 355 to 776 of the family's 1533-position model. Lineage: Bacteria; Pseudomonadati; Pseudomonadota. The record is from RNAcentral.
UGGGGAAUAUUGGACAAUGGGCGAAAGCCUGAUCCAGCCAUGCCGCGUGUGUGAAGAAGGUCUUCGGAUUGUAAAGCACUUUAAGUUGGGAGGAAGGGCAGUAAGCGAAUACCUUGCUGUUUUGACGUUACCGACAGAAUAAGCACCGGCUAACUCUGUGCCAGCAGCCGCGGUAAUACAGAGGGUGCAAGCGUUAAUCGGAAUUACUGGGCGUAAAGCGCGCGUAGGUGGUUCGUUAAGUUGAAUGUGAAAGCCCCGGGCUCAACCUGGGAACUGCAUCCAAAACUGGCGAGCUAGAGUAGGGCAGAGGGUGGUGGAAUUUCCUGUGUAGCGGUGAAAUGCGUAGAUAUAGGAAGGAACACCAGUAGCGAAGGCGACCACCUGGGCUCAUACUGACACUGAGGUGCGAAAGCGUGGUGAGCAAACAGG